Molecule: ribosomal RNA, 1300 nt
Filed under: uncultured bacterium
Lineage: Bacteria
Description: bacterial SSU rRNA
Rfam family: Bacterial small subunit ribosomal RNA
Source: RNAcentral
AGUGGCGAACGGGUGAGUAACACGUAGGAAUCUACCCUUAAGACGGGGACAACCCAGGGAAACUUGGGCUAAUACCGGAUGAGAGUGCGAGAGAUUGCAUUUAAAAGGAUGGCGAAAGUUGUCGCUUAGGGAUGAGCCUGCGGUCUAUUAGUUAGUUGGUGAGGUAAGAGCUCACCAAGGCGAUGAUAGAUAGGCGGCCUUAACGGGUGGUCGCCCACACUGGGAUUGAGAUACGGCCCAGACUCCUACGGGAGGCAGCAGUCGAGAAUAGUCUACAAUGGCCGGAAGGUGAUAGUGCGACGCCGCGUGAACGAGGGAGCCCUUCGGGGUGUAAAGUUCUUUUCUAUACGAGCAGUGCUAUAUAUAUGGAUAGUAUAUAUAGAGGAAUAGUAGUAUAGGAAUAAGCAACGGCUAACUCCGUGCCAGCAGCCGCGGUAACACGGGGGUUGCGAGCGUUGUCCGGAAUUACUAGGCGUAAAGGGCAGGUAGGCGGAUCUACGAGUUUUUUGUUAAAGGCUACGGCUCAACUGUAGUAGAGCAGGAGAUACUGUAGGUCUGGAAUGCGGUAGGGGAAGACAGAAUUCCUGGUGUAGCGGUGGAAUGCGCAGAGAUCAGGAGGAAUACCGAAGGCGAAGGCAGUCUUCUAGGCCGUAAUUGACGCUUAACUGCGAAGGUGUGGGGGAUCAAACAGGAUUAGAUACCCUGGUAGUCCACACAGUAAACGAUAAUCACUAGAUGUCGGGUUCUAGAUGGAUUCGGUGUCGGAGCUAACGCGAUAAGUGAUUCGCCUGGGGAGUACGAUCGCAAGGUUGAAACUCAAAGGAAUUGACGGGGGCCCGCACAGGCGGUGGAGCAUGUGGUUUAAUUCGAGGCAACGCGAAGAACCUUACCCGGUUUUGACAUCCACGGGAGGCUUCAGAGAUGGAGCUGUGCCGGCGUAAGCUGGAGCCGUGAGACAGGUGCUGCAUGGCUGUCGUCAGCUCGUGUCGUGAGAUGUUGGGUUAAGUCCCGCAACGAGCGCAACCCUUGCCUUCAGUUACCAUCAUUAAGUUGGGGACUCUGGAGGGACCGCUGCGGUAACAACGCAGAGGAAGAUGGGGACGACGUCAAGUCAUCAUGGUCCUUAUGGCCGGGGCUACACACGUGCUACAAUGGCAGUUACAGAGGGAUGCGAUUCAGUAAUGAGGAGCGAAACUCAGAAAAGUGCCGCAGUUCGGAUUGAGGUCUGCAACUCGGCCUCAUGAAGUCGGAAUCGCUAGUAAUCGCGCAACAUCAUGGCGCGGUGAAUACGUUCCCGGGC